AUGAUUGCUCUUAUCGGUAUGGCUCCUACCGAGGAGGAGGGAGAAGAGCCGAAGAAGAAGGAAAGGAAAGCAGCCGGAGCUGCUUUCACGUGGAUUCAAGCAAACUUUGCGCAUUGCCCUGCGGAUGCCACUGAUGAUGUGAUACAGACACAUGCUCGUGUCUAUAUGUGGUACGUUUUCUCGAGGACUUCGUUUCCUGACUCCACGGGCAAGAACGCUCCAUGGAUGUGGCUGAAGGCGUUGACCGUCUUCGAUAGCAAAUGGAGCUGGGGUUCAGCGACUCUUGCGUACUUGUACCGACAGGUAGUUGGUUUGUUUUGUUAUCAACUCAUUUGUUCAUUACCAAUGCAACCUUGUUGUCAACUUAACAUUGUUUUUCUUUCAUAUGCAGCUGGACGAUGCGUGUUGCAGGAUCACAGAUAG
This 423-nucleotide ribosomal RNA is filed under the name Triticum aestivum (bread wheat). RNAcentral's name for it is "partial small subunit ribosomal RNA". The record is from RNAcentral. Lineage: Eukaryota; Viridiplantae; Streptophyta; Magnoliopsida; Poales; Poaceae.